Molecule: ribosomal RNA, 119 nt
Filed under: Pteropus alecto (black flying fox)
Lineage: Eukaryota; Metazoa; Chordata; Mammalia; Chiroptera; Pteropodidae
Source: RNAcentral
GUCUAAGGCCAUGCUACCCUGAACAAGCCCGAUCCCAUCUGAUCUUGGAAGCUAAGCAGGGUCGGGCCUGGUUAGUACUUGGAUGAGAGACCACCUAAGAAGACCAGGUGCUGUAGGUA